GGGAGGUGAUGAGUGGUCAUUGCUUGCACAUAAACUUGCGAGAUGGGGUGUCCGCCCAGGGCAUCUUUAAUCUUAAACCAUCUGAUCCC
Helianthus annuus (common sunflower) is the source of this 89-nucleotide non-coding RNA. Lineage: Eukaryota; Viridiplantae; Streptophyta; Magnoliopsida; Asterales; Asteraceae. The record is from Rfam.